This 447-nucleotide ribosomal RNA is filed under the name uncultured bacterium. RNAcentral's name for it is "bacterial SSU rRNA". It matches the Rfam family "Bacterial small subunit ribosomal RNA", at positions 330 to 794 of the family's 1533-position model. The record is from RNAcentral.
UCCAGACUCCUACGGGAGGCAGCAGUGGGGAAUAUUGCACAAUGGGGGAAACCCUGAUGCAGCGACGCCGCGUGAGUGAAGAAGUACUUCGUUAUGUAAAGCUCUAUCAGCAGGGAAGAAAAUGACGGUACCUGAGUAAGAAGCCCCGGCUAACUACGUGCCAGCAGCCGCGGUAAUACGUAGGGGGCAAGCGUUAUCCGGAUUUACUGGGUGUAAAGGGGGCGCAGACGGCGAUGCAAGCCAGGAGUGAAAGCCCGGGGCCCAACCCCGGGACUGCUCUUGGAACUGCGUGGCUGGAGUGCAGGAGGGGCAGGCGGAAUUCCUGGUGUAGCGGUGAAAUGCGUAGAUAUCAGGAGGAACACCGGUGGCGAAGGCGGCCUGCUGGACUGCAACUGACGUUGAGGCCCGAAAGCGUGGGGAGCAAACAGGAUUAGAUACCCGGGUAGC